This 114-nucleotide Y RNA is filed under the name Prolemur simus (greater bamboo lemur). RNAcentral's name for it is "Y RNA (ENSPSMG00000021320.1)". It matches the Rfam family "Y RNA". Rfam says of the family: Y RNAs are components of the Ro ribonucleoprotein particle (Ro RNP), in association with Ro60 and La proteins. The Y RNAs and Ro60 and La proteins are well conserved, but the function of the Ro RNP is not known. Lineage: Eukaryota; Metazoa; Chordata; Mammalia; Primates; Lemuridae. The record is from Rfam by way of RNAcentral.
GGCUGGUCUGCAGGUAGUGAGUUAUCUCACUUGAUUGUUCACAGUCAGUUACAGAUUGAACUCCUUGUUCUACUACUUUCCUCCCUCCUCACUACUGCACUUGACUAGUCUUAA